CCUACGGGAGGCAGCAGUGGGGAAUAUUGGGCAAUGGGCGCAAGCCUGACCCAGCAACGCCGCGUGAAGGAAGAAGGCUUUCGGGUUGUAAACUUCUUUUCUCAGGGACGAAGCAAGUGACGGUACCUGAGGAAUAAGCCACGGCUAACUACGUGCCAGCCGCCGCGGUAAUACGUAGGUGGCAAGCGUUAUCCGGAUUUACUGGGUGUAAAGGGCGUGUAGGCGGGAAAGCAAGUCAGAUGUGAAAACCAUGGGCUCAACCUGUGGCCUGCAUUUGAAACUGGUUUUCUUGAGUACGGGAGAGGCAGACGGAAUUCGUAGUGUAGCGGUGAAAUGCGUAGAUAUUAGGAGGAACAUCAGGUGCGAAGGCGACUAUCUGGACAGCAACUGACACUGAGGCACGAAAGCGUGGGGAGCAAACAGGAUUAGAUACCCUUGUAGUC
Molecule: ribosomal RNA, 443 nt
Filed under: uncultured bacterium
Lineage: Bacteria
Description: partial 16S ribosomal RNA
Rfam family: Bacterial small subunit ribosomal RNA
Source: RNAcentral